This 5637-nucleotide long non-coding RNA is filed under the name Sorghum bicolor (sorghum). RNAcentral's name for it is "long non-coding RNA (SBIC_LNC001156)". The record is from RNAcentral. Lineage: Eukaryota; Viridiplantae; Streptophyta; Magnoliopsida; Poales; Poaceae.
UGAUAGGACUAGGAGCCCUACCGGAGUUGCUGCGUAGGUUGUAGGGGUGGAAGAUUGGAGGGCGAGGCCUGAGACCUCGGCAACGGCGCGUGGGCGCCGUUCUGCUGGCUGGAGCAGUUAGGGCAAAGGCGGCUAGGGUUUCUCCCGGCUCCCUGAGGAAGCCGGAAACAAUAAUAUGUUUCUGCUUAAUCCCCUCUGAAUAGUUCUUACAAUAUAUAUAGGUCUCUGGAAUAUAAUAUGAAAAUUAAUCUAAUUUAUCUCUAAUAAAUAUAAUAAAUAUGGGCCUUGACCCCAGCAGCCGCCAGCACCCCUUAGCCACCAUUGGGCCUGCGGCGCUGGUAUUGGAUGCCUGUCAUAACAUCUCUCCCCGCCUGCGCAAACAGCUCGUCCUCGAGCUGGAAGUCGGGGUAGAAGGUCUUGAACUCGUCGACCAGCUCCCAUGUCGCAUCCUCUUCAGGAAAGCCUCGCCACUGAAUAAGCACCUGCCACGAGCCGCGGCGUUGUUGGGCACGGAGCGCCUUGGCUGGAGCUGGAGCCAACCGGCCGUCUAAAGUCGGCCCAAGAGCUCCUGGGGCAGAUGGGGGGUCUCCACGGUGGCGCUUGAGCAAGCCCACAUGAAAGACAUCGUGAAGACGCGCGCCCUCCGGAAGUUGAAGACGGUAGGCGACAUUGCCCACGCGCUCCAAGAUGCAGAAUGGCCCAGCAUACCGGGGGCCGAGCUUCCCUUUGGCGCCGGGCACCAGAGACUGGGUUGUGCGGUUGAGCAGCCGCAACCAAACCCAGUCCCCCACCUGGAACUCGACGUCGCGGUGGCCUGCAUCGUAGUAUUUCUUGGACAGCUGCUGCGCCUGGAGCAGACGCUGGCGUACCUCCGCCAGGACCUCGUCCCGGGAGCGAAGAAGAGCAUCCGCGGCCUCUGUACGAGCCGUGCCCGGUGUAUAGGGCAGGAGAGGCGGCGGGGAGCGGCCGUAGACAACCUCGAAUGGCGUGGCGCGAAGGGCGGUGUGGAAGGACGUGUUGUAGCAAUACUCCGCCCAUGAGAGCCAAUCCACCCAUGCCCGGGGACGAUCACCUGUUACACAACGUAAGUACAUGGCAAUCACCUUGUUGACCACCUCCGACUGGCCGUCCGUCUGCGGGUGAAAGGCGGUACUCAUGCGUAACUUGACGCCGGCCAUCUGGAAGAGAUCACGCCACACCCGACCUGUAAACACGGGAUCCCGGUCGCUGACAAUGGAGAGGGGAAACCCGUGAAGGCGGACGAUGCCGUCGAAGAAGGCGCGAGCGACGGUCGUGGCGGUGUAGGGAUGACUCAGCGCGAUGAAGUGGGCGUAUUUGGAGAAGCGAUCCACCACCGUCAGGAUGACAGACUUGCCCGCAACCUUGGGCAGGCCCUCGAUGAAGUCCAUUGAUAUAUCCGCCCAUACCUGGGUGGGUACAUCAAGGGGCUGCAAGAGUCCAGCCGGCUGCACCGUCUCCGUCUUGUUGCGCUGGCAUGUGGUACAAGAACGUACCAAGUCCUGGACCAGCACACGGUCCCGUGGGAUGAAGAAGUGAGCGCGGAGGCGAUGGAGCGUCUUCUGGAUGCCCUCGUGGCCAGCCGUAUGCGCCAAAAGGAGCACCUGCUGUCGUAGAUCUCCAUAGUCUGGUACCCAGACACGGGAACCAUGGAGGAGCAGGCCGUCAACGACAUGCCAGGGGUCGCCCAGCUCGCCGGCCCGCAACUGGUCCAGUAGCGCGCAGCUAUCUAGUGCUGUCGUCGUGGCACGUCGGAUUUCGUCCAGGAGGGCGAACGACGGGCCGGACACGGCGAACACCGCCCCGACACUCGCAGGUGGUCGAGCAGCCACCUCGUCCUCAGCAUCGCGGCGGGAUAGAGCAUCCGCCACAGUAUUGUAGCGCCCCGGUCGGUACUCCACCGAGAAGUCGAAGCCGAACAAUUUGCUGAUCCACUGAUGUUGGGGCACUGUAGACAAACGCUGGUCCAGCAAAAACUUCAAGCUGUAAUGAUCCGUGCGAACCAGGAAGUGACGCCCCCACAGAUAUGGGCGCCAGUGACGGACCGCCUGUACCAACCCAAUGAGUUCGCGUUCAUACGCGGCCAACUUGAGGUGGCGAGCCGCAAAGGGCCGGCUGAAGUAGGCGAGGGGUCCAGCGCCCUGGUGCAGCACCGCGCCGAACCCCGCCCCCGACGCGUCGCAGUCCACCAUGAAGGGUUCGUCGAAGUUGGGCAUCUGGAGAACUGGGCCCGUGGUCAAGGCGCGCUUGAGCGCCUCAAAUGCCGUCGUUGCGUCGUCGUCCCACGCAAACGCGUCUCGCCGCAAGAGACGCGUCAGGGGAGCCGCGAUGAUGCCGAAGUCCUGGAUAAACUUCCGGUAGUAUCCGGCAAGGCCGAGGAAACCACGCAGACCGCGCGCCGAACGCGGUGGUGGCCACGCCGCCACCGCGGCCACCUUGUCGGCGUCCAUGGCCACUCCUCCUUCUGCGAUCACAUGGCCCAGAUAGGCCACCGAAGAUGCUCCAAAGGAGCACUUAGAGCGCUUGAGGUGGAGGUGGUGCGCCCGUAGUGCGCUGAGGACGAUGCCGACGUGCUGCAAAUGCUCGGACCACGAGGAGCUGUAAAUUAAGAUGUCAUCAAAAAAUACCAGCACGAACCGCCGCAAGUAGGGUCGCAGGACGUCGUUCAUCAAAGCCUGGAAGGUUGCCGGGGCGUUGGAUAGCCCGAACGGCAUCACCAGGAACUCGAAAUGGCCGUGAUGCGUCCUGAACGCCGUCUUGGCGAUGUCCUCUAGGUGCAUGCGCACCUGGUGGUAGCCGGAACGUAGGUCGAGCUUGGUGAAGAAGCGCGCCCCGUGGAGCUCAUCCAAGAGCUCGUCAACGACGGGGAUCGGGAAUUUGUCCUUGGAGGUCUUGGCAUUGAGGGCGCGGUAGUCGAUGCAGGAGCGCCACGAGGAAUCGGCCUUCCGCACCAAGAGGACGGGCGCGGAGAAGGGAGAUGUGCUCGGUCUGAUGAUCCCUUGCGCAAGCAUAGCGGCGCAUUGAUGUUCCAGCUCAUCCUUCUGCAGCUGCGGGUACCGAUAUGGGCGCACCGCGACGGGGGCUGUACCGGGCAGCAGAUGGAUGCGGUGAUCGUAGGGGCGAGCUGGCGGCAGCCCCUUGGGCUCGUCGAAGAUGUGGGCGUGCUGCUCCAGAAGACGGUCCAGGAGGGGUAGCUGCGGGUCUGCUCUGACCGCGGCCACCCCCUGCUGCGGAGCAGCGGCCUGAGGACCUGGCACGCCUUGCCAGGUGACGCGGCGUCCCGCGCGCGUGAACUCCAUGGUGAGGGCGUCGCAGUCCCACAGCACCGGCCCUAGCGCGCGAAUGAAGUCGAAGCCUAGGAUGACGUCGAAGGCUCCCAAGUCGAUGCCCACCCCUGUGACAGUGAAGUCCUCCUUGCCGAUGCAGAUGGGCACGUUCUGUGCGACACCUUCACACGUCAUGUGGUCCCCGUUGGCCACCUGAACCCGCAGGUGCUCGCCACCCGCAGGGGCCAACCCGAGGCGACGCAUCGCGGCUCCCUUGAUGAACGUGUGCGUGGAGCCGGAUUCGAGUAGGGCGAGGAAGCGCUCGGCCGUGAUGGUAACGGGAAGGAGCAUGGCGUUGGGCGGGCGAAUUCCUACAACAGCAUGGAGAGACACGACGAGUGCGUUAGCAUGGCUGUCGGCAGGCUCCUCCGGGUAAGCUGCGGCGUCGAAGUCUGCCGCAGCCGCUUCCUGUUCCUCCUCCUCGACAUAGUCGGCGGACUCCAAGUAGAACAGCCGAGGGCACACGUGUCCCCGGACAUAAGGUUCAUCACAGUUGAAACACAGCCCCUGGCGGCGGCGUUCCGCUUGUUCGGCCGGAGACAGGCGGCGGAACUGGCGAGCCGGUGGCGCCCCCUGGGCUCCUGCGUUUGUAGCAGCUCCCGACGCUGGAGCCCCAGCUGGUGGAAGCGGGGCGCGCGGAGGCAGGCCAGCGCGUGGUGGAGGUCGCGCGGCGCGCGGUGGUGGCGCAGUCUGCAUGGCCGCUGCCCGGCGCUCGAACGCCCGCGCCAAGUAGAUGGCCGUCUGGACGUCGGGCGGUUCGCGCAUCUCCACGUCGACCCGGAUGUACUCAGGGAGGCCACCAACAAAGAGGUCUGCCUUUAGCUUGGUGGAGAGGCCUUGGGCGUGGCAGGACACCGCCUGGAACCGGUCGGCGAACUCCUGGACGGUAGAGUGCCACGGCAGGCGCCCCAACUCCGCUGCUCUGGUGCCACGAAUAGGAGGACCGAAGCGCUGACGGCACAGGUCGACGAAGCGCUCCCACGACGGCAUGCCCUCGUCCUGCUCGAGGGCGUAGUACCACGUCUGAGCCAGCCCGCGGAGGUGAUAGGACGCCAUCCAUGUUCUGUCAGAGGCCGGCCAGCGUUGUCCCCUGAAAAACUGCUCGCAGUGAUUGAGCCAAUUCAGGGGAUCCUCAGAACCAUCAUAUGUCUCGAAGUCCAGGCGGUGAGUCUUGUGAGGCAGCCGAUCGAGGCUGCUCCCGCGUCCCAGCGGGUAGUGCUCGUUGUGGGCUCCCUGGUCGGUACCCAGGGACAAACCAGGACGUGCGGGCGCCGCUGUCGCAGCAGCUGUCGAGCCGGCGCUGGUGGCGUGGAACAGCAGUCCAUCCACGCCGCCGUACAGGGUGCCCGAUGCAUAGGGUCCCCCAUGGUCGACGGGACUGCCCGUCGAGGGCGCCGGUGGGAUGGCUGUCCGCAGCGGGGACGAGGAGUAGACCGGCGCGGCUCCGGGAUAGGGCGCCGCUGACGAACCAUAUGCCCACGUCGGGAUUGGCGAAGGAGACGGCGGAAACUGCAGCAGGUGGAGCGGUACUUGAGUCCCCACCGGCUGGGCAGAGGUUGCCGCCGAUGGCAUGGGAUCGGAGGGCAUCCCGUACGGGUAGGUGAUGAGCGGAACCGACGAUGACGGCAACGUAGGUGGCGGGUUGGGCGACUGGUGUGCUGGCGCCCCCUGCUGGACGCUGAGGAACGCCUUCAUCAUGUCCUGCAGCUCCUUGACGCUGUGGCUGAGGUGGACAAUGGAGGCCGUGACCUCCUCCGGCGUGAGGACCGGCCGCGGACGGACAGAGCCCGACAGCGGCUGGGACGAGGAAGGCAGCAGCGCACCCGAGGUUGCUGGAGGCGCACUGGAAGUUGGGGAAAUCAGCGAUUCCGUCGCGCCGGCGGCGGCAGCGGGCGGCUGCUCCAUGAUCGACAAGGUCUCUGAUACUAGGUUGAUAGGACUAGGAGCCCUACCGGAGUUGCUGCGUAGGUUGUAGGGGUGGAAGAUUGGAGGGCGAGGCCUGAGACCUCGGCAACGGCGCGUGGGCGCCGUUCUGCUGGCUGGAGCAGUUAGGGCAAAGGCGGCUAGGGUUUCUCCCGGCUCCCUGAGGAAGCCGGAAACAAUAAUAUGUUUCUGCUUAAUCCCCUCUGAAUAGUUCUUACAAUAUAUAUAUAGGUCUCUGGAAUAUAAUAUGAAAAUUAAUCUAAUUUAUCUCUAAUAAAUAUAAUAAAUAUGGGCCUUGACCCCAGCAGCCGCCAGCACCCCUUAGCCACCAUUGGGCCUGCGGCGCUGGUAUUGGAUGCCGGUCAUAACA